UACGUAGGGGGCAAGCGUUGUCCGGAAUUAUUGGGCGUAAAGAGCGUGUAGGCGGCCAGAUAAGUCCGCUGUGAAAUCUCGAGGCUCAACUUCGAGCUGUCGGUGGAAACUGUCUGGCUAGAGUCCGGAAGAGGAGAAUGGAAUUCCUGGUGUAGCGGUGAAAUGCGCAGAUAUCAGGAGGAACACCAAUGGCGAAGGCAGCUCGCUGGGACGUGACUGACGCUGAGACGCGAAAGCGUGGGGAGCAAACAGG
This 253-nucleotide ribosomal RNA is filed under the name uncultured prokaryote. Its description in RNAcentral is "partial 16S ribosomal RNA". It matches the Rfam family "Bacterial small subunit ribosomal RNA", at positions 524 to 776 of the family's 1533-position model. The record is from RNAcentral.